GCACCUUGGAGUUCGCUGAGGGCUCUGGCCUCUUCCGCUGCCUCGAGCGGCGCCCCUGCAUCGAUCGCGGUCAGAUAGGCGUCGAGCGUUUCCGUGGAAGAUGCAGGAGCAUAACCGCCGGUGGCUCCGGGUGCGAU
Molecule: small RNA, 137 nt
Filed under: Sinorhizobium meliloti 2011
Lineage: Bacteria; Pseudomonadati; Pseudomonadota; Alphaproteobacteria; Hyphomicrobiales; Rhizobiaceae
Description: putative ncRNA
Source: RNAcentral